GCAGGUGCUUGAUGACCUGAGGACACAGGUGUGCCUAACUUGUGGCCACUAGGAGAGAGGGAAAAACAAAACAUAAACAAAGCAGUGCACCACAUAGCAAGAGACUGCAGGGCUUGACUUGGAUUAUUACAGAUCUACUCUCAAACACUGCUCGACAAGAACUCAAGAAGUCUGCUCAACACUUCAGCAGCCACAAAAUGAAUACCACCAGUGCAGUGGAUGGUUCAUCAAGCCACAAUGCUGAUCAAGACUAUGAUCCAAACUUAGCCGGCGCUUCUUUGUCAAUAAACCUGAUCCUCAGUUUUCCUUUGAAUAGUUACGUCAUCUGGCUGAUACUGAGAGCUUCCAGAGAGUCUAUAGCCUCAGACUUCUUUUCUCUCAACCUGGCCGUGUCCGAGCUCUUUUUUUCUUUAUCCGGUGUGUGGUUUCUGCUUUAUGACAAGUUAAAAACUUCCAUUUGUGUUUCUGCCUUCAUGUUCUCACUUGGCCUUCUCUUUUCAGCACGCCCUCUCUUUCAGUGCUGCAUCUGUGUGGAGCGCUACGUAGGGGUUGUGCACCCUGUGUUAUAUCUGAGGUUUAAACCCUUGAGAUACAGGGUGGUCUGUUGUUCUGUUAUCUGGCUGAUAAUUUUGGUUGCAUGUUUAUACCAUGUGCAUACAUUUUUAAAACAUUUGUAUCUGUAUGCAUAUUUCAUACAAAGUGUGUUGUUGUUCUGUGUGAUGCUGUUCUGCUGCCUCUCAGUUCUCUGCGCUCUGAAACGCCCAGGACCAGGAGACAAAGACACGGGGAAGAAGACGAGUAAUGCGAUGAAGAGGAAGGCUUUUAAAAUCAUUUCACUGAUCAUGGUUUUCAUGUCCAUACAUUUCUUUUUGUAUGUGGCUGCAAUUCCCCUGCAAUGUUGUGUGGAGAGGUUCCAUUAUGUCUUUAAUAUUUUAUCAAGUGUAUCUUUAACCACUGGGUUCAUUCAGCCACUUCUCUACCUCCAGCGGUCUGGGAAACUUCCCUGUGUGAGAAAGAUCUAAAUGUCAACAUAAUUUAAUCUAAAUAUAUUGUGUGACAUUAAUUGUUACAAGAAUUUCUGAUCUUAUUUUGUGAAGAUCUAUUUCACGUUUGAAAUGUUUUGUAUAAUAGCAAAAGUUUGCAAGUAUCAA
Long non-coding RNA from Notolabrus celidotus (New Zealand spotty), 1151 nucleotides. RefSeq lists it as uncharacterized. The record is from RefSeq and is a predicted model, not a curated record. NCBI's taxonomy places the organism in Eukaryota, Metazoa, Chordata, Actinopteri, Labriformes, Labridae. The transcript is spliced from 3 exons.